UACGGGAGGCAGCAGUGGGGAAUAUUGCACAAUGGGCGCAAGCCUGAUGCAGCCAUGCCGCGUGUAUGAAGAAGGCCUUCGGGUUGUAAAGUACUUUCAGUCGUGAGGAAGGUGUUAAGGUUAAUAACCUUAGCAAUUGACGUUAGCGACAGAAGAAGCACCGGCUAACUCCGUGCCAGCAGCCGCGGUAAUACGGAGGGUGCGAGCGUUAAUCGGAAUUACUGGGCGUAAAGGGCACGCAGGCGGUUAAUUAAGUUGGAUGUGAAAUCCCCGGGCUUAACCUGGGAAUGGCAUUCAAGACUGGUUAGCUAGAGUCUUGUAGAGGGGGUAGAAUUCCAUGUGUAGCGGUGAAAUGCGUAGAGAUGUGGAGGAAUACCGGUGGCGAAGGCGGCCCCUGGACAAAGACUGACGCUCAUGUGCGAAAGCGUGGGGAGGCAAACAAGGGAUUAGAUACC
RNAcentral lists this ribosomal RNA (455 nucleotides) under uncultured bacterium. Its description in RNAcentral is "bacterial SSU rRNA". It matches the Rfam family "Bacterial small subunit ribosomal RNA", at positions 340 to 786 of the family's 1533-position model. The record is from RNAcentral.